GCUUAAUACAUGCAAGUCGACUUGCUUUUGAUUAGCAAUAGUCAAAAGAGAGUGGCGCACGGGUGAGUAACACGUAGAUAAUCUACCCUCAGGACUAACAUAAUGUAGAGAAAUCUGCACUAAUAUCAGAUGAAACAAAAUCCUGGCAUCAGAGAUUUUGUCAAAGUUUUAACGCCUGAGGAUGAGUCUGCGGUCCAUUAGGUAGUUGGCGGUUUAACAGACCACCAAGCCGACGAUGGAUAGCUGGUCUGAGAGGAUGAUCAGCCACACUGGAACUGAGACACGGUCCAGACUCCUACGGGAGGCAGCAGUAAGGAAUAUUGCUCAAUGGGAGAAAUCCUGAAGCAGCAACGCCGCGUGGAGGAUGAAGGGCUUUCAGCUUGUAAACUCCUGUAAAGAAGGAAAAAAUUCCCAUUAGAUGGGAGAUGAUGGUACUUCUAAAGUAAGCCCCGGCUAACUACGUG
This 464-nucleotide ribosomal RNA is filed under the name uncultured bacterium. RNAcentral's name for it is "bacterial SSU rRNA". It matches the Rfam family "Bacterial small subunit ribosomal RNA", at positions 46 to 507 of the family's 1533-position model. The record is from RNAcentral.